RNAcentral lists this ribosomal RNA (577 nucleotides) under uncultured Pirellula sp. RNAcentral describes it as "bacterial SSU rRNA". It matches the Rfam family "Bacterial small subunit ribosomal RNA", at positions 102 to 694 of the family's 1533-position model. Lineage: Bacteria; Pseudomonadati; Planctomycetota; Planctomycetia; Pirellulales; Pirellulaceae. The record is from RNAcentral.
AAGGGAGAGUAAUGCAUGGUUAGCUACCCCCGGGACUGGGAUAGCGGCGGGAAACUGCCGGUAAUACCAGAUGACAUCUUCGGAUCAAAGGUGUGAAUCCGCCCGAGGAGGCGACCAUGUCCUAUCAGCUUGUUGGCGGGGUAACGGCCCACCAAGGCAAAGACGGGUAAGGGGCGUGAGAGCGUGCCCCCACUCACUGGGACUGAGACACUGCCCAGACACCUACGGGUGGCUGCAGCCGAGAAUCUUCGGCAAUGGGCGCAAGCCUGACCGAGCGACGCCGCGUGCGGGAUGAAGGCCUUCGGGUUGUAAACCGCUGUCGUAGGGGAGGAAGCAACCGUGAAGAACGGAAGUUGACCGAUCCUAGGAGGAAGGGCCGGCUAUCUCGUGCCAGCAGCCGCGGUAAUACGAGAGGCCCAAACGUUAUUCGGAUUUACUGGGCUUAAAGAGUUCGUAGGCGGCGCAGAAAGUAGGGUGUGAAAGCCCUCGGCUCAACCGAGGAAUUGCGCCCUAAACUACUGUGCUUGAGGAAGCUAGAGGUGAGCAGAACUGAUGGUGGAGCGGUGAAAUGCGUUGA